This 242-nucleotide long non-coding RNA is filed under the name Phoenix dactylifera (date palm). RNAcentral describes it as "long non-coding RNA (PDAC_LNC015933)". The record is from RNAcentral. Lineage: Eukaryota; Viridiplantae; Streptophyta; Magnoliopsida; Arecales; Arecaceae.
UUCCUUCUCUUCUUUCUUUUCCUUCCUUCCCGAAGUUUCUUUCUUCUCUUCCCCUCUCCCUUCUUCCUCCCUUGCCUCACUUCUCCCGCGGCCAUGGGAAGGGGCAAUCAAGCUCUCGAUGGCAUGACGACGAAAGGGUGGGCGGCGAAGCCAGAGGAAGACGCAGUCGGAGGAGAUGCGGCGGCAGGGGAGGAGGGAGAAGAGGCGGAGGGCGUCGGGGUGGCGGCGGGAGAGAGGGAGCG